GGGGAAUUUUGGACAAUGGGCGCAAGCCUGAUCCAGCCAUGCCGCGUGUCUGAAGAAGGCCUUCGGGUUGUAAAGGACUUUUGUCAGGGAAGAAAAGGCUGUUGCUAAUAUCAAUAGCUGAUGACGGUACCUGAAGAAUAAGCACCGGCUAACUACGUGCCAGCAGCCGCGGUAAUACGUAGGGUGCGAGCGUUAAUCGGAAUUACUGGGCGUAAAGCGAGCGCAGACGGUUACUUAAGCAGGAUGUGAAAUCCCCGGGCUCAACCUGGGAACUGCGUUCUGAACUGGGUGACUAGAGUGUGUCAGAGGGAGGUAGAAUUCCACGUGUAGCAGUGAAAUGCGUAGAGAUGUGGAGGAAUACCGAUGGCGAAGGCAGCCUCCUGGGAUAACACUGACGUUCAUGCUCGAAAGCGUGGGUAGCAAACAGGAUUAGAUACCCUGGUAGUCCACGCCCUAAACGAUGUCAAUUAGCUGUUGGGCAACUUGAUUGCUUAGUAGCGUAGCUAACGCGUGAAAUUGACCGCCUGGGGAGUACGGUCGCAAGAUUA
RNAcentral lists this ribosomal RNA (548 nucleotides) under uncultured bacterium. RNAcentral's name for it is "bacterial SSU rRNA". It matches the Rfam family "Bacterial small subunit ribosomal RNA", at positions 356 to 896 of the family's 1533-position model. The record is from RNAcentral.